GACUAACGCUGGCGGCGUGCCUAAUACAUGCAAGUCGAACGGGAUUCUUUGAUCAGCUUGCUGAGAGAAGGAUCUAGUGGCGGACGGGUGAGUAACGCGUGGGAAUCUGCCUCUUACUGGGGGAUAACAGUGGGAAACUACUGCUAAUACCGCAUAAGAUCUUCGGAUGAAAGGUGCAACUGCACCGGUAAGAGAUGAGCCCGCGUCCCAUUAGCUAGUUGGUGAGGUAAAGGCUCACCAAGGCGACGAUGGGUAGCCGGCCUGAGAGGGUGAACGGCCACACUGGGACUGAGACACGGCCCAGACUCCUACGGGAGGCAGCAGUAGGGAAUCUUAGGCAAUGGACGAAAGUCUGACCUAGCGACGCCGCGUGAGGGAAGAAGGCCUUCGGUUGUAAACCUCUGUCAGUGGGGAAGAAGUAAGUGACGGUACCCAAGAGGAAGCCCCUGCUAACUACGUGCCAGCAGCCGCGGUAAACGAGUAGUACA
This 488-nucleotide ribosomal RNA is filed under the name uncultured bacterium. RNAcentral describes it as "bacterial SSU rRNA". It matches the Rfam family "Bacterial small subunit ribosomal RNA", at positions 28 to 536 of the family's 1533-position model. The record is from RNAcentral.